Molecule: long non-coding RNA, 1385 nt
Organism: Canis lupus familiaris (dog)
Lineage: Eukaryota; Metazoa; Chordata; Mammalia; Carnivora; Canidae
Exons: 3
Source: RefSeq, a predicted model, not a curated record
GAGGGGGCGCCUCCCAGACACCCUCGGGAGAGGCAGAGGUGGCGGCGAGUCUGCCACUCGCUUGGGCGCCCGGGGGCUUUGGAAGCCCGAGGGGGAAAGUGCGGGAGAAAACAGGCUUCAAAACUAGCCACCCUGCCACCUGGACGCGGGAGGAGGAGGGGGCGCUGCGCUCCGGACACCCUGAGACCCCGGGCCGAGCCUCGCCCCAACCUCAAGCAGCUCAUGUCACGGUUUGCUGAUACCCAACAAAGAUGGGAGCAGCCAGUCAAUACAAAGUACUUGGACAACCAAGAUUUUUCCUUUCUUCUAUUUUAAGAUAAAAACUUCAGAAACACAUACACCUGAGAGUAGAGAGUAAUGACAGUUCCAUAAAGGGAAUAAAAUUCCAGACUGGAAUCUCUCCAAGUAUUUAGUAGUUACUGGCCAUACAGAAAGUGACUGGAAACUCUUUUAAGAGCAGCACUUUGCCUCUUGGGUGUGGGAGGCACAGUGAUGCCCUCAUCCCUCUUUUUAGAUGAGGUCACUGAGGGACGAAGCUGUUACAAGGCAGUACAGGUUGCACAGAUGGGGCUUAGCCAGCUCAUGAAACAGUACUUGGUAGCAACCUAUCCGUGUGAGACGGUCCUAGUCCAACCCAGCCCGAGGCCUCACACUCCCGUGCCUGUCUUGGCACAAGGCAGGCCCCCCUCUGAUGCAGUGCUGGGGUGGGGGAGCAGACAUACCUAGAUGCAGCAGCAAAUGCAACGGCCCGGGCAGCAGUAGCUUCUUCCAACUUCUUCCUUUUUUUCUCCUCCAUUAAUUGCUUUUCUACAAAACUGCGGGCUUCUUGCUCAGCUUUUAGCUUUUUCUCCAACUGGCUGAUAUUUUGCUUGUCUUUUUGCUUCAUUUGCACAGCAUUAUGUAAUCUAUAUGGAAAUGAUUAUCAUACAGAGUUUCGUCAUUAGAAAUGCCCACUAGAAACCCUGGAGAAACAUGGUUCCUCUUUUGAACAGCAAAUCAUGAAUGUCAGCUCGCAGAGUGCCUGAGAAAAACACACUAUUCUUUUUUUUUUCUCAUUAUUCUUUAACAAUUCCUAAAUACCAACAAACAAGCUGCCUAAUAAGAUACAGAACAAGACCUAGCCUUUUCCCUAUUAUGGUUCCUUUGUCAUCACAAAUCGUUUGCUCCAAUCGCUGGAAACCACAGAAACAGUGGGGCGCCUGGCUCACGACCAAAGGCCUGCCCAAAAGGCGCACAUACUUGUUCUGCAGCAGCUCAUUCUCCUGUCGGAGCUGGCCCAUUUCGGAGCGGAUCCCUCGCUCGGUGCUGGAGAGGGAGCUGAUCUGGCUGCGGAGCUCCUGUUCCACUUGUCUGCUGGCCUGCAGGUCAGCCUUUAACUUUUUAAU